This 499-nucleotide ribosomal RNA is filed under the name uncultured bacterium. RNAcentral describes it as "partial 16S ribosomal RNA". It matches the Rfam family "Bacterial small subunit ribosomal RNA", at positions 27 to 507 of the family's 1533-position model. The record is from RNAcentral.
GGACGACCGCUGGCGGCGUGCCUACUACCUGCAAGUCGAGCGGACGGCUGGGAGCUUGCUCCCAGACCGUCAGCGGCGGACGGGUGAGUAACACGUGGGCAACCUGCCUGUAAGACUGGGAUAACUCCGGGAAACCGGGGCUAAUACCGGAUAACUCUUUCCCUCACAUGAGGGAAAGCUGAAAGAUGGCAUCUCGCUAUCACUUACAGAUGGGCCCGCGGCGCAUUAGCUAGUUGGUGAGGUAACGGCUCACCAAGGCGACGAUGCGUAGCCGACCUGAGAGGGUGAUCGGCCACACUGGGACUGAGACACGGCCCAGACUCCUACGGGAGGCAGCAGUAGGGAAUCUUCCGCAAUGGACGAAAGUCUGACGGAGCAACGCCGCGUGAGUGAUGAAGGUUUUCGGAUCGUAAAACUCUGUUGUCAGGGAAGAACAAGUACCGGAGUAACUGCCGGUACCUUGACGGUACCUGACCAGAAAGCCACGGCUAACUACGUG